RNAcentral lists this microRNA precursor (129 nucleotides) under Glycine soja. Its description in RNAcentral is "MIR1520 microRNA precursor family". It matches the Rfam family "MIR1520 microRNA precursor family". The record is from Rfam by way of RNAcentral. Lineage: Eukaryota; Viridiplantae; Streptophyta; Magnoliopsida; Fabales; Fabaceae.
UUAACAAAUGAUGUUAACUAUCACGUGUCAUGUUCUGAUUGAUCAAUGAAAACAACAAUUCAUUUCAUCUUUCAUGGACAUGUGACAGUUAUCAUCCAAUAAAAACGUGACACGUGAUAGUUAACAUCA